AGCGAACGCUGGCGGCAGGCUUAACACAUGCAAGUCGAGCGGGCACUUUCGGGUGUCAGCGGCGGACGGGUGAGUAACGCGUGGGAACGUGCCCUCUGGUUCGGAAUAACUCAGGGAAACUUGAGCUAAUACCGGGUACGCCCUUUUGGGGAAAGGCUUGCUGCCGGAGGAUCGGCCCGCGUCUGAUUAGCUAGUUGGUGAGGUAACGGCUCACCAAGGCGACGAUCAGUAGCUGGUCUGAGAGGAUGAUCAGCCACACUGGGACUGAGACACGGCCCAGACUCCUACGGGAGGCAGCAGUGGGGAAUAUUGGACAAUGGGCGCAAGCCUGAUCCAGCCAUGCCGCGUGAGUGAUGAAGGCCUUAGGGUUGUAAAGCUCUUUUAUCCGGGACGAUAAUGACGGUACCGGAGGAAUAAGCCCCGGCUAACUUCGUG
RNAcentral lists this ribosomal RNA (435 nucleotides) under uncultured bacterium. Its description in RNAcentral is "partial 16S ribosomal RNA". It matches the Rfam family "Bacterial small subunit ribosomal RNA", at positions 29 to 507 of the family's 1533-position model. The record is from RNAcentral.